GCCACAAACACAGAGAAGAUUAAACUAGAAUCAGUACAGUCUAGUAUAAUAGUCUUUCCUGUCACAAAAUCAAACCAAAAUACAAUACAAAGCCCCAUCUUCCGCAAAGGGGACGGAGACCUUAUCAUAAUGGCCACAAAGGAGAGAGUACACCACCACCACACAGGUCAGCAUUGCUGCAUACAGUGACCCGCCGAUUUCCACCAAAAACAUAUAUUCCCCAAAAAUCGAAAACACAUCAGCCCUGGAACGUUCCUCCUAAAGUCACCUUCUCCAUCACACCUAAAUCUGCCAAUGCAUCUAAGAGAAAACAACAACCAAUCACAACACCAAGGUAUAUACCAGAAGACCGACACCAAGAGAAUGAAGAGAAUUGGUGCAAGCACCAGAGCAGGAACCGUAGCAAAAGCUCUAAAUACAAUCCGGAAAAUGAGUGACAAAGCCCUUAUAGAUAUGGUUGUUGUAUCCCAAAGAAGAUUCCGUAUCCAAAAAUAGGAUGAGAAGUUGAGGAAGAAAUAAAUCUGGUUGAAAGGGUUGUUUGGUGGAGAACGAAUGACACAAAAUUGGCAUGAGACAUUUAAUCUCAGCACAGAGUAUAAGGCGCAAGCAUACACAACAGAGGGAGAAGCACCCAACUCUCAAAGAGAGCCACAGGCACAGCCAAACAGGCUCAAAUUGAAAGAAGACUAGCUCCACCAAAAGCCCAAGACAUGGUAGAAGGGGGAUAGCAAAAUGAGAGAAAGAAAACCGAAAGAAAAGAAGAAGAAAAAAAAACCAAGAAAAUCGAAAAUUGCUCUGUAAAAACAGAGCAGCUCCCAAGAGGUGGAAGAUGAAAAGGCAGGAGAAAGGGGACGAAUGAGCAACCUAGAAAAGAAAGAGAGAGGAAGAUGAGGAAAUAAAAGAAAAAAAACCAGAAAAAGAG
RNAcentral lists this long non-coding RNA (922 nucleotides) under Prunus dulcis (almond). Its description in RNAcentral is "sRNA ncRNA". The record is from RNAcentral. Lineage: Eukaryota; Viridiplantae; Streptophyta; Magnoliopsida; Rosales; Rosaceae.